UGUAAGUGCCACUUCUAGCUCGAG
RNAcentral lists this non-coding RNA (24 nucleotides) under Arabidopsis thaliana (thale cress). Lineage: Eukaryota; Viridiplantae; Streptophyta; Magnoliopsida; Brassicales; Brassicaceae. The record is from RNAcentral.